CCUACGGGAGGCAGCAGUGGGGAAUAUUGGUCAAUGGGCGUAAGCCUGAACCAGCCAAGUCGCGUGAGGGAUGAAGGUUCUAUGGAUUGUAAACCUCUUUUAUAAGGGAAUAAAGUGUGGGACGUGUCCUGUUUUGUAUGUACCUUAUGAAUAAGGAUCGGCUAACUCCGUGCCAGCAGCCGCGGUAAUCGGGAGGAUACGAGCGUUAUCCGGAUUUAUUGGGUUUAAAGGGGGCGUAGGGGGCCUUUAAGUCAGCGGUGAAAGUCUGUGGCUCAACCAUAGAAUUGCCGUUGAAACUGGGAGGCUUGAGUAUGUGUGAGGCAGGCGGAAUGCGUGGUGUAGCAGUGAAAUGCUUAGAUAUCACGCAGAACCCCGAUUGCGAAGGCAGCCUGCCAGGCCAUGACUGACGCUGAUGCACGAAAGCGUGGGGAGCGAACAGGAUUAGAUACCCCAGUAGUC
RNAcentral lists this ribosomal RNA (459 nucleotides) under uncultured bacterium. RNAcentral describes it as "partial 16S ribosomal RNA". It matches the Rfam family "Bacterial small subunit ribosomal RNA", at positions 338 to 795 of the family's 1533-position model. The record is from RNAcentral.